CCAACUUUCUUUACCGUUUUUGUUUUUGGAAAUUUAUUUGGAUUUUGUAAAAUCUUCAAUGCUUGGAAAUUAACUUCUACUACUACUGUUGCAAACGUGGCUGAUCUUUUACUGUUCUUCGCUGCCAGCCAACCGUUUUGUUGUCUGAUUAUUUUCUUUGGUCUUCUGGGAGUGUUUAUGAGUUCAUAUGUUUGAAAUGGUUUUGGGGGGUUUUGGAGUUGUUUUUGGAACUGGGUUUUGACUGUCAGUGGUGUGAAACUUGUUAUUGAAUUGAGCCAAGUGUGUAUUGGCUGGGUGUUUGGUUGGUGGGUGAAAUCUUGCGUGGUAGAUGUGUUCUGAGCUUUGUGGCUGUAAAAGCGCAAUAUGAUUAUGUUGAUAACUACAAUGUUGAAUUUCGUAAACACAAAGUCAAUUUGGGAUUUGCCUCUUUCGUCUGAAUAAAGUUUGACUUUACUGUUUUACUGUUUCUCUUUCUGAUCCAAAUUUGUUUCCCAGUGAGUGUCUCUCUCGGAUUGUCUUGUUAGCUUAGUCUCAUUCUGUUUCAUUCAGAAAAAAACAUGGGGACCAAUUUGAACAUGAAGAAUUUCGGGUCGGACACACCGGGCGAUGGCAACGGAAGGGCGCCGGGGAACUUUCCGUUGGCGCGGCAAUCGUCGAUCUACGCCUUGACCUUCGAUGAGUUGCAGAACACGAUGGGUGGGAGCCUAGGCAAGGACUUCGGGUCCAUGAACAUGGACGAGCUACUCAAGAACAUUUGGAGCGCCGAGGAUGCCCAGAGCAUUAUGGCCAAGCCGUCCUGGACUGCCGGACCAGAAGGGGCUGGCCCACCUGGUGGUUAUCUACAGAGGCAGGGCUCGCUGACUCUGCCGAGGACGCUGAGCCAGAAGACCGUGGACGAGGUCUGGAAAAAUAUAUCCCAGGAUGCGACUGGAAAUGGAAGCUCAAGCUUGCCGCAGAGGCAGCAUACCUUAGGGGAGAUGACUUUGGAGGAGUUCUUGUUCAGAGCUGGAGUUGUGAGAGAGGACGCCCAAUUGGAUGCCAAGCCUGUUGGUGGUACUGCUAGUACCGGAGGGUUCUUAGGAAAUACUGGUUUGGGAAUUGGAUUUCAGCAGACUGGUGGGGGUACCGGGUUGAUGGGGAAUCGGAUUCCAGAGAGUAAUAAUCAGUUUUCGAUUCAGUCUUCGAAUUUGCCACUGAAUGUGAAUGGGGUCAGAUCGGAUCAGACACAGUUGUCACGGCCUCAGCAGCCGCAGAUUUUUCCUAAGCCGAUUACGGUGGCUUAUGGCACACAUCAGAUGCCUCAGCUGGGUAGUCCAGGGAUGAGGGGUGGGAUUGUGGGGAUAGGAGAUCAGGGUUUGACUAGCGGGUUGGUUCCGAGUGCGGCACUGCAGGGUGGAGGAAUGGGAAUGGUGGGGUUAGGAGCUGGAGCUGGAGGUGUUAGCGUUGCGACGGGAUCGCCAGUGAACCAGCUGUCGUCGGAUGGGAUUGGGAAGAGCAAUGGUGAUAUGUCGUCAGUGUCACCAGUUCCUUAUGCGUUUAAUGGUGGUUUGAGGGGGAGGAGGUCAGGUGGGCCUGUGGAGAAGGUCGUUGAGAGGAGGCAGAGGAGGAUGAUUAAGAAUAGGGAGUCAGCUGCGAGGUCGCGAGCUCGAAAGCAGAUUAUGCAGCAGAAUGGUAAUGUGAUAGCGAUCUGACAUUACCAGAGAUCAAAGGUUUUGAUAAGUAACGGUCAUGAGCAGUUAAAAGGAUCAAGUUUAUUACAAGGCUUAUACCAUGGAACUGGAAGCUGAAGUUGCAAAGUUAAAGGAGGAUAACGAAGAAUUGCGGAAAAAGCAGGAAGAAAUUAUCCAAAU
Corylus avellana is the source of this 1850-nucleotide RNA transcript. It is a transcript of the gene named abscisic acid responsive elements-binding factor 2, with no coding region annotated. The record is from RefSeq and is a predicted model, not a curated record. Lineage: Eukaryota; Viridiplantae; Streptophyta; Magnoliopsida; Fagales; Betulaceae.